Molecule: long non-coding RNA, 443 nt
Organism: Canis lupus familiaris (dog)
Lineage: Eukaryota; Metazoa; Chordata; Mammalia; Carnivora; Canidae
Exons: 4
Source: RefSeq, a predicted model, not a curated record
CAGACCCUACUGAUUAUUUGGUGUGCCUUUUACAAGAAAAAAAUCACCUCUACUCCGUGAAAGCAGUAAUUUCCUGACGCAAGGUUGGUCCCAUAUUCAGAUGAAGACUCUCGGGGAUCCUCUGCAGAUCUCUCAAAUUCUCUGAAGCUCCCUCUUUUCAGUGGCAUCUGAUUGGACAAAGGAGUAAUGGUGUGCAUCUGCUGUUCCUUGUUGCCCCAUUCACACGUGGGCUCUACAUGCUCCAGGAGGACACAAUUCCAGAGGAGAAAUGAUGAGGGAGGCUUCAGUGAGACUCAGCGUGAGCUCAACAUAAGCUUUUAUGAGAUUCAUCCAUGUUGUUAUGUGUGGCAGCAGCUCAUUUCUUCCUAUGGUUGAGCAGCAUUUCACUGUGUGACUACCAUUCCUCUGUUGACGGACGUUUGUAUUAUGUCAAGUGUAGAGCU